CUGGUGCUAAACCGCCAUCCAAAGAUGCAGAGUAAUUCUGGCUGACUCGUGCUAUCCAGAAGUUCCUAUAGGUUGUAGGAAGGUUUGGAGCAUCUCUCUGGGGCAGAGGAAGCAGGCAACUGACACAGAGAAAGUCCCGCAGGAAAGUCCUAGGAAUAGCAGAGCCUGAGGAGAAUAUUCAGACUGAGGGCUUGUCUAUGCCUACAGCACUGCAGUGGUGCAUCUACGCCGCUGUAGCACUUAGUGAAGAUGCUCUCUAUGCAGAUGGGAGAGCUUCUCUUGUUGGUGUAGGUACUCCACCUCCCCGAGGCGCUAGCUAUGUCGACGGGAGUAGCCUGAUGGGACGUAGUGCUGUCUACAUCAGGGGUUAGGUCAGUACAACUACAUCUCUCAGGGGGGUAGAUUUUCCAAGCACUAGGAAAACAGGCACCAUUCUAUCCAGGCUUAGUGCUUUCCACACACCCUGUGACACAGUUAAACCGACAUAAAUUUGUAGGCUAGCCCAGGGCUGAGGCUUGUGUUUUGUUCUGUAAUUGGAAUUACCAGUAAGGAAAAGGGGUACAUUUUGCCUGUAUAUGGUGUGUAAAGACUGUUCAAAGCAGGGUGGGAAUUUUGCUUGCUUGGCUGGCUCUUUUGGCAAAAUUAAGCAGUUUAGAGAACCUGAUAGGGAAAAUUUAUGACUUUCCCCAGAAUGCCUUAGGGUAUGUCUUUACUGCAGAGUUAUUUCAGGCUCUUACUCUAGUGUUGACUGGAGCUGGGAGAAUACCUGAUUUUUCAGUUCAGUGGCAGUUCUGAAAAAUUGCAACAACAACAACAAAAAUUAAAUUCAUUUGCAUCAAACCAAAUCUGAAUAUUUGGUUGAUCCAAAAGAGCGAGCAUUUGAACCUCGAUCUCCUGCUGCCCAGGCAGAGGAAACAAAGGGAUUUAAGGAGGCGAAGUCUAUGGACUCAAUCAUGGAUCACGAGGCUGGAAAAGGGGACCUCUUGGAUUCAAGGAAUGAAAUGACCAAAGACUUGGAUUUGCUUGUACUUGAGAGGGCUGCCCACAAUCAGAAGUAGCUGCCCUCUGACAGCUUGCUGGUGGCUUACAUGGAAUGAGUUGGUGGUCUCGGUUCAGAUCCUGAAGUAGAGCUGUCCCUGUUGCAAUAUGCAGUAUCAACAGAAAAGUCAUACUGAGUAGGCAUGGAAACGGAACUAGCUUUCCUUCCAGAACAGGGCUAAAGCACCAGGCACAGUAGCAGGAUGCUGUAGGAAAGCACGGAUGGCUAUUACCCUUACUGCUUCUCUUCUGUAAAGGACUUUGGUUUCCAAGACUGUCAGUUACUUUUCACUAAUAUUCUAGACUCUGCUUCUAAAGUCAAUUGGGUUAUCCAAGAUUAACACUGGAGUAAAUGAGAGCAGAACAUGGCACUGUGCACUGAAGAAAGACAGACGUGUAUUACAUUUUCUGUAAUUAUUUGCUUUUAUGACUGUGACCUUACUGCAGUUUUGAUCUUGUCUUUCAGUCUAAAUAAGGAGACACAAUUACACUCAUUGUUAUAAUA
Long non-coding RNA from Mauremys mutica (yellowpond turtle), 1543 nucleotides. RefSeq lists it as uncharacterized. The record is from RefSeq and is a predicted model, not a curated record. The transcript is spliced from 3 exons. Lineage: Eukaryota; Metazoa; Chordata; Testudines; Geoemydidae.